This 117-nucleotide ribosomal RNA is filed under the name Neodevriesia hilliana. Its description in RNAcentral is "partial 18S ribosomal RNA". It matches the Rfam family "Eukaryotic small subunit ribosomal RNA", at positions 1716 to 1830 of the family's 1831-position model. Lineage: Eukaryota; Fungi; Ascomycota; Dothideomycetes; Mycosphaerellales; Neodevriesiaceae. The record is from RNAcentral.
UGGCCCAGGGAGGUCGGCAACGACCACCCAGGGCCGGAAAGUUGGUCAAACUCGGUCAUUUAGAGGAAGUAAAAGUCGUAACAAGGUCUCCGUAGGUGAACCUGCGGAGGGAUCAUU